CUAAGCAUAGGUGAUUUGAUGAUGUUGAAAUGGUGCUGGAAUAGUGGAAGCAGCUCCAGUUUUCUUUGCGACUUGAGGUAAUAUCAGCAUCUGCAAUGAUGACCUGACAUUCAGGAACAUGGACAUGAGCAAGAUCCUAGAAUCAUCCUGUAGCGACAAGGAAGACACGGAAGGAUAGGAGAGUGAAGAGAAGGAAGUGCUAAGGGUGGUCACACCAUAGUGGAUUCCUACCUACUCGAAUACCCCAACAACAUCCUGUCGUUCCCGCGCCAGACCUAUCUCAGCUCACACUCUCCUCCCAUGACACCUCUCAGGCGCCACGAGUUCCAUUCCAAGCACUGGCCAUGGUGGAGCCAGACAGAGUACCCUCCAACAUCACAAGACCUCCACCCAUCAUCACAAAAGGACUGCAUAAGAACCGCAUAAUUGAUUCGGAGUCUGAGGAAGAGAUACCUGCAGCCACUGGUCCAGCUUGCUACUUUGGAGACUGUGAGGCUGUCUAAUGAAGCAAUUGAAAAGUUCACUAAGAUGGAGGUGACCCUGGAAACAGACAGAUGGAAAGCUGAGACCCUUCAUUGUGGCAUCGGAGAUCCUGGUUUGGUGAAUGGACCAGGAGGUAUCCCGUCCACCAGAACCAGUGAGAUCAGAUCAGGUUGAGUAUCUGUGCUCUAAGUCGAAGGGGGACCAGUUUGAGGACCUAGGGGUUCUGCCCAACACCCAGACGUGGAUCCACCUGAUGUCCUCCAUUACCAACCACCCUCCAACUUUUCACUACAUCAUCUACAGCUACUGUUGUCAUUAUCUGCUAAGAAAGUUAUUGCUCUAUCAUACUGGGCACAUAUCAUACUGGGCACACAUCAUCUACAGCUACUGUUGUCAUUAUCUGCUAAGAAAGUUCUUGCUCUAUCAUACUGGGCACAUAAAUAUGUGAGAUAAACAGAUUAACUAAAAACACUAGCACUGCAAACACUCAGAGCAAAGAGAGCAGCAGUGCCUGGACUUUGCAGUCUCCUUCUUCAAGUCCCCCUUCUGAGACUGACGGCCUGUUGAGAACAAGUGACAGGCAGAACCUCUCACAGACACAGCAACCACCUCCUCUAUAUCACACACAGCAGAAUUCAGUAUUUUAGUCUAUGAUUGCCAUGUGAAUGUACAAAAAAAUCUGAAAAUAAAUGAAUGACGAACUUU
Molecule: non-coding RNA, 1188 nt
Organism: Salmo salar (Atlantic salmon)
Lineage: Eukaryota; Metazoa; Chordata; Actinopteri; Salmoniformes; Salmonidae
Source: RefSeq, a predicted model, not a curated record